RNAcentral lists this ribosomal RNA (841 nucleotides) under Aurantiochytrium sp. Its description in RNAcentral is "SSU rRNA". It matches the Rfam family "Eukaryotic small subunit ribosomal RNA", at positions 138 to 1033 of the family's 1831-position model. The record is from RNAcentral. Lineage: Eukaryota; Bigyra; Thraustochytrida; Thraustochytriidae.
AUAUGGAUACCUGCAGUAAUUCUGGAAAUAAUACAUGCUGUAAGAGCCCUGUAUGGGGCUGCACUUAUUAGAUUGAAGCCGAUUUUAUUGGUGAAUCAUGAUAAUUGAGCAGAUUGACUKUUUUGGUCGAUGAUCGUUKGAGUUUCUGCCCCAUCAKUUGUCGACGGUAGUGUAUUGGACUACGGKGACUAUAACGGGKGACGGAGAGUUAGGGCUCGACUCCGGAGAGGGAGCCUGAGAGACGGCUACCAUAUCCAAGGAUAGCAGCAGGCGCGUAAAUUACCCACUGUGGACUCCACGAGGUAGUGACGAGAAAUAUCGAUGCGAAGCGUGUAUGCGUUUUGCUAUCGGAAUGAGAGCAAUGUAAAACCCUCAUCGAGGAUCAACUGGAGGGCAAGUCUGGUGCCAGCAGCCGCGGUAAUUCCAGCUCCAGAAGCAUAUGCUAAAGUUGUUGCAGUUAAAAAGCUCGUAGUUGAAUUUCUGGCAUGGGCGACCGGUGCUUUCCCUGAAUGGGGAUUGAUUGUCUGUGUUGCCUUGGCCAUCUUUYUCWUKUYUUUWUWGGKRWGARAUCUUUCACUGUAAUCAAAGCAGAGUGUUCCAAGCAGGUCGUAUGACCGGUAUGUUUAUUAUGGGAUGAUAAGAUAGGACUUGGGUGCUAUUUUGUUGGUUUGCACGCCUGAGUAAUGGUUAAUAGGAACAGUUGGGGGUAUUCGUAUUUAGGAGCUAGAGGUGAAAUUCUUGGAUUUCCGAAAGACGAACUAGAGCGAAGGCAUUUACCAAGCAUGUUUUCAUUAAUCAAGAACGAAAGUCUGGGGAUCGAAGAUGAUUAGAUACAUUCGUA